CGAGUAUCAAGAGCGCAGCGAGGGAACUAGCCCUGCGACCUGCCAGCAACCAAUCUAAUUUUUAUUAGACGUGGUGCUACCUCUAGCCCGCAAGGGAAAGAUAUAAA
Molecule: non-coding RNA, 107 nt
Filed under: Candidatus Parcubacteria bacterium
Lineage: Bacteria; Candidatus Parcubacteria
Description: Parcubacteria Moranbacteria SAM-I sequence
Rfam family: SAM riboswitch aptamer (S box leader)
About the family: The SAM riboswitch is found upstream of a number of genes which code for proteins involved in methionine or cysteine biosynthesis in Gram-positive bacteria.
Source: RNAcentral